GCUGGAGAAUCUCAUUAUCCCAUCGGCGCUCUGCCUGCUCCUGGCCUCCAAGCCUCUGAAGCCCCUCGGGUUUCAGCUGCCGGCUACCCUCGAGCCCGUGGUGCCCACGAGAGAGGCGACUUUACGUCAGCGGCCCUGGGCUGAGAUUUGAGAACGCGACCAAGUGGAGAAUGUUGGAGCCAGAUUUUAAAAUCCUUGUCUUCCUUCUGCGUGCUACUUGAUCUAAAUGAGAUACGGCAAAGUCACAGAACCUGUUUUUAUGUUUUUGCCUGAUUCAUACGGGCUUCUCCGGUGAAGAUGGGCCUGAAGUAACGCUUGGGUUGCUUCUGACGUUAUAACUCAUCCUGUAGCUGCAGCAACCGUGGUCCUUGCAACCUCAUAAAAAUGUUGCCAGCAUUGUUUCGAUAGUGCUGCUUAAUUCUUGGAAGGUUCUUCGGACUUCACACAUUCCAGCAGUAGCUCUCUCAGCUCCUGUCCUGCACAGCUUUGAAGUGCUGGUGAUGUCAUUGAACUCUUAAGUGCAAGAUGAAACAAGUCUUUCUGGGGUUCUAAGUAGGUUGCCUCAUCACUCUGUUGAUGGGCUAAAGACCUGAAGAGCCAUUUGUCCAAAGAAGACAUACAAGCGGCCAACAGACAUAUGAAAAAAUGCUCAACAUCACUAAUCGUCAGGGAAAUGCAAAUCAAAACCACAGUGAGAUAUCACUUCACACCUGUCAGGACACAGCCCUGGUGAUGGCUUUCUGAGGAUGACACGAUGGAGGCUUCUCCAAUAGCUCUAAAACUGCGGUGUGGAAAACAUUCGGCAGCCUCAAAGAGCGGUCUUGUUGACCCCAACUAUAUCAUUUUUCAUCAAAAUCAUUCUUGUAAAGAAUGACCAGGCAACACUCUUUGAAAAUUGGAGGCCAUUUGCAGCUGCUCUCUGUUGAGGAAAGUGAAUAAUAGGGUGCCCUCAAGGAAUUGCAAAGGUAUCACUCAACAGAAACUUUCGUGUCUGAAGAAAACUAGAUCAUUUUAUCAUGGUAGGCAUGCUGAUAUGUUUGCUUUAAUAAAAUGCCAUAUUUCUGCCUUUAAUCUCUUGUCAACCCGCUAUUAAAAAGCCCCAAAGUGCAUGUGUGCAGCGCAUGUAAACACUUGUGGUUUUGAGGUUACCACAGAACAUACUAAUAAAGCAUGUAAUUUGUGUUUUGUGCA
RNAcentral lists this long non-coding RNA (1191 nucleotides) under Homo sapiens (human). Its description in RNAcentral is "hepatocellular carcinoma up-regulated long non- coding RNA". The record is from RNAcentral. Lineage: Eukaryota; Metazoa; Chordata; Mammalia; Primates; Hominidae.